This 393-nucleotide ribosomal RNA is filed under the name uncultured bacterium. Its description in RNAcentral is "partial 16S ribosomal RNA". It matches the Rfam family "Bacterial small subunit ribosomal RNA", at positions 523 to 918 of the family's 1533-position model. The record is from RNAcentral.
AUACGGAAGGUCCGGGCGUUAUCCGGAUUUAUUGGGUUUAAAGGGAGCGCAGGCGGAGAUGCAAGCGUGACGUCAAAUUUCGGGGCUCAACCCCGUCUCGCGUCGCGAACUGCGUCCCUUGGUUGCGGGAAGGGGAGGCGGAACUCGUGGGGUAGCGGUGAAAUGCAUAGAUAUCACGAAGAACUCCGAUCGCGAAGGCAGCCUUCCGGCCCGUCAACGACGCUCAUGCUCGAAGGUGCGGGUAUCAAACAGGAUUAGAUACCCUGGUAGUCCGCACAGUAAACGAUGGACACCCGCGGUUUGGCCUAUAUGGCUGAGCCGCCAAGCGAAAGCGUUAAGUGUCCCACCUGGGGAGUACGCCGGCAACGGUGAAACUCAAAUGAAUUGACGGGG